This 274-nucleotide ribosomal RNA is filed under the name uncultured bacterium. RNAcentral's name for it is "partial 16S ribosomal RNA". It matches the Rfam family "Bacterial small subunit ribosomal RNA", at positions 523 to 796 of the family's 1533-position model. The record is from RNAcentral.
AUACGAAGGGAGCUAGCGUUGUUCGGAAUUACUGGGCGUAAAGCGCACGUAGGUGGAUUCGUCAGUUGGGGGUGAAAUCCCAGGGCUCAACCCUGGAACUGCCUUCAAUACUGCGAAUCUUGAGUCCGAGAGAGGUGAGUGGAAUUCCGAGUGUAGAGGUGAAAUUCGUAGAUAUUCGGAGGAACACCAGUGGCGAAGGCGGCUCACUGGCUCGAUACUGACGCUGAGGUGCGAAAGCGUGGGGAGCAAACAGGAUUAGAAACCCCAGUAGUCC